RNAcentral lists this ribosomal RNA (848 nucleotides) under uncultured archaeon. Its description in RNAcentral is "bacterial SSU rRNA". It matches the Rfam family "Archaeal small subunit ribosomal RNA", at positions 17 to 873 of the family's 1478-position model. The record is from RNAcentral.
CCGGACCUGACUGCUUUCGGAUUGGUACUAAGCCAUGCGAGUCGUUGUAGCAAUACAAGGCGGACGGCUCAGUAACACGUAGUCAACCUAACCUAUGGACGUGGAUAACCUCGGGAAACUGAGAAUAAACCGCGAUAGAUCAUUAUGCCUGGAAUGGCUUAUGGUUCAAACAAUUUAUUGCCGUAGGAUGGGACUGCGGCCUAUCAGCUUGUUGGUGAGGUAAUGGCCCACCAAGGCUAUAACAGGUACGGGCUCUGAGAGGAGAAGCCCGGAGAUGGGUACUGAGACACGGACCCAGGCCCUAUGGGGCGCAGCAGGCGAGAAACCUUAGCAAUGUGCGAAAGCACGACUAGGUUAAUCCGAGUGAUUUCUGUUGAAGAAAUCUUUUGUCAGUCGUAAAACCACAGACGAAUAAGGGGUGGGCAAGUCUGGUGCCAGCCGCCGCGGUAAUACCAGCACCUCGAGUGGUCAGGAGGUUUAUUGGGCCUAAAGCAUCCGUAGCCGGCUUUGCAAGUCUCCGGUUAAAUCCAGCUGCUCAACAGAUGGGCUGCCGGAGAUACUACACAGCUAGGGAGCGGGAGAGGCAGACGGUAUUCGGUGGGUAGGGGUAAAAUCCACUGAUCCAUCGAGGACCACCAGUGGCGAAGGCGGUCUGCCAGAACGCGUUCGACGGUGAGGGAUGAAAGCUGGGGGAGCAAACCGGAUUAGAUACCCGGGUAGUCCCAGCUGUAAACGAUGCAAACUCGGUGAUGCAUUGGCUUAUGGCCAAUGCAGUGCCGCAGGAAGCCGUUAAGUUUGCCGCCUGGGAAGUACGGACGCAAGUCUGAAACUUAAAGGAAUUGGCGGGG